RNAcentral lists this non-coding RNA (45 nucleotides) under Trichobilharzia regenti. The record is from RNAcentral. Lineage: Eukaryota; Metazoa; Platyhelminthes; Trematoda; Strigeidida; Schistosomatidae.
AUUCAACUGACGAGUCCCAAAUAGAACGAAAUGCGCAUCUUGGAU